RNAcentral lists this transfer RNA (88 nucleotides) under Candidatus Tayloriibacteriota bacterium. Its description in RNAcentral is "tRNA-Leu". It matches the Rfam family "tRNA". Rfam says of the family: Transfer RNA (tRNA) molecules are approximately 80 nucleotides in length. Their secondary structure includes four short double-helical elements and three loops (D, anti-codon, and T loops). Lineage: Bacteria; Candidatus Tayloriibacteriota. The record is from RNAcentral.
GCUCGGGUGGCGGAACUGGUUUACGCGCAUCACUUAAAAUGAUGUGUCCUUAACGGACGUGGGGGUUCGACUCCCCCCCCGAGCACCA